This is a long non-coding RNA of Platichthys flesus (European flounder), 369 nucleotides long. RefSeq lists it as uncharacterized. The record is from RefSeq and is a predicted model, not a curated record. The transcript is spliced from 3 exons. NCBI's taxonomy places the organism in Eukaryota, Metazoa, Chordata, Actinopteri, Pleuronectiformes, Pleuronectidae.
GAGUCUUCCGGUCAGUGACUCACCUGUCGGGAUUAUGGUGCUGGCUGUUUUACAAAUGGAGGCUGUAAUCAUACUAACAAUGGCAAUCGGAAAGGCGUCCCAACACUCUGGAUCAUGAGCAAGCUUGUGAUGGAUGACGGCGUCCCGAGCCAGAGAGCCAAUGGCCGACAGCAGCGGUGGAAGGAUCUGACGAUUGUUCUUGUUGAUACUUCUCUGUAAAAUCGGAAAGAGACUCCCUCCAUCCCUCUGCAGACCCUCGGCCCAGUCCAGCAGCAUCUCCAGCCUGGUCUGUAACUGGAGAUGGCCUUGCAGGCUCCGCCCCCAGGCCUGCUGGAGCUCCUUGGCCGCGGUGAGGAGAUGAUCUUGUCG